RNAcentral lists this ribosomal RNA (119 nucleotides) under Bison bison bison. Lineage: Eukaryota; Metazoa; Chordata; Mammalia; Artiodactyla; Bovidae. The record is from RNAcentral.
GUCUCAGGCCGUAUCAGCCUGAAGGCGCCCGAGCUCGUCUGAUCUCGGAAGCUAAGCAGGGUCGGGCCUGGUUAGGAUCUGGAUGGGUGACCACCUGGGAAUCCCGGGUGCUCGAGGCU